RNAcentral lists this ribosomal RNA (377 nucleotides) under uncultured bacterium. Its description in RNAcentral is "bacterial SSU rRNA". It matches the Rfam family "Bacterial small subunit ribosomal RNA", at positions 521 to 896 of the family's 1533-position model. The record is from RNAcentral.
UAAGACAGAGGGUGCAAACGUUGUUCGGAAUUACUGGGCGUAAAGCGCGUGUAGGUGGCGAGGCAAGUCGGGUGUGAAAGCCCUGGGCUCAACCCAGGAAGUGCACUCGAUACUGCCUAGCUAGAGUCCCGGAGAGGUUGGUGGAACUCUCGGUGUAGAGGUGAAAUUCGUAGAUAUCGAGAAGAACACCGGUGGCGAAGGCGGCCAACUGGACGGUGACUGACACUGAGACGCGAAAGCGUGGGGAGCAAACAGGAUUAGAUACCCUGGUAGUCCACGCCGUAAACGAUGGGUGCUAGGUGUCACGGGUAUUGACCCCUGUGGCGCCGUAGCUAACGCAUUAAGCACCCCGCCUGGGAAGUACGGCCGCAAGGCUA